This is a long non-coding RNA of Galeopterus variegatus (Sunda flying lemur), 470 nucleotides long. RefSeq lists it as uncharacterized. The record is from RefSeq and is a predicted model, not a curated record. The transcript is spliced from 2 exons. Lineage: Eukaryota; Metazoa; Chordata; Mammalia; Dermoptera; Cynocephalidae.
GGGGGAAGUCCCAGGGCCGCAGAGCUACGCCGGGGAUCUGUCCUGGAGGAGCCUUCUCCUCCACCCUGGACACUUUAAGCAGCGGUGGUGGCGAAGGAUGUGAGGUUACAGAGCGGACAGCGAGCCUUCCUCGUUCCGAUGUUGCUCUGCCCGCCGGAGAUGACAAGUGAGGAAGAAGUGUCCUGCCAGGCCAUCCCCUUCAGACACCCACAGCCACAGAGGGGGUUGCUGAGCCGCCUGCAAGAAGUACAUUGUAAAUCUUCUGCGUAACAAGCCCCGCAGUCACUACUCUUCCCGACUCCUUUGCCCCAUCGUGGUUCCCCAGAGGGAUCCUCGGGGCCUUUGGCUGUUAACAUCAAGAGCAAAGGGAGAUCCUGCUGGGGAGACUUGGCUGGGUAAGAUUUCACAUCAAGCUCGCCAGAGGAUUUGCAGGAUUGUAUGUAAACUGAAAUAAAUUUUCCAAAGCCUGA